Molecule: long non-coding RNA, 1339 nt
Filed under: Homo sapiens (human)
Lineage: Eukaryota; Metazoa; Chordata; Mammalia; Primates; Hominidae
Description: HSALNT0325043
Source: RNAcentral
GUGGAGGUUGCAGUGAGCUGAGAUCGCGCCACUGCACUCCAGCUUGGGCGACAGAGCGAGACUCCAUCUAAAAAAUACAGCUGUAUCAAAUCUGCUUGUGCUUUGGCCAUCUGAGAGAUCUUAAGUGUGCAAUGCAAUGAGGAUGGAGCAACGUAUACACCAAUCAAGAGAAAGAACAUGUCCAUUACCCCAAAAAGUUCUCUUACACCCGCUUCCAGGCUAGAGUGCAGUGGUAGGAUCUCGGCUCACUGCAGCAUUGACCUCCUGGGCUCAAGCUAUCCUCCCACCUCAGCCUUCUGAGUAGCUGGGACCGCAGAGGUGCAUCACCAUACUCGGCUAAGUUUUAUGUAAUUCACUGAAACACGACUGAUAGACCCCGAAGAAGAAAAGGGCCGAAUAUUAUUUGGGUCAAGAAUACUUUACUCUCAGGAAGCAAAAACAUUCUGAAAGGUUCCAAAUGAAAGAAGACAUCUGAUGGGCAAUGUGUAAAUCACUGGACUAAUCUGAUUUUGUUAUGCACUUACACCUGUGAUUCCGGAUGUCAAAUUUCGCAAGUCCUUUAUCCCUUGAAUUUUCCUAUAAAAUACCAUUGAAAGAGGGAAAGAAGAUGGCUAGUGGACACUUUUCUACACCAUCAAUGUAGAAGGCAACUGAUCCUGAGCACACGUCUCCAUGGCGGCAGGAGUCAUUGCUUUUUAGAUCACGUUCUCCGAGCAAGAGCCGAGAAAUCGAUAUCUCUCACAAGGCUGUAGACGUGCUGGAACUGAUUAGUCAUUAACCUAUUGUCACUCCUCCCAGCGCUCAUGGAAGGAGUUGCAGCAUGUCAAUGGAUUUUAAAAGAGUACCAGGAUUAAACUUCUCCAUGGCAGUGGGCAUUUGUGAAAGGUCUGUUCUGAAAUACCAGUACCAUCUUCUCACAUGUUAAGGGCCAAAAAUCUCAGUAAGUCACUCCAAAUCAGGUUUUACAGAUGAUUUUUUGAAAUAUUGAUUCUGGUAUUGUCCCUGAAAAUUUAAUUUAUCAAAUAAGCCAAUUAAGAAGCGUCUUUUAAAGGCACGUAGGGACCAUUCAGCACUGGAUGGACAAGAAAAUGAACAUAUUAAUCUUACAGUCAGCAACGUUUUGUUGAUGCUUUGGAAACUGAACUGCAAAGGAGUACUUAAAUGAACUGAAAGAGUUAAUUUGACUUCUAAGAGCCAUAAACUGGCUUGGGUUGGGUGGAUUCUGUAUUCCCAGACUCUGGUUCAAUAAAAAUGUAAAUGUUAUCUGGGUACACAAAGCAUAUUUCAUGGCGAUAAUGAAUCUGUUGACAUACUGUUCAUACUUUAUUAUAUAAAUUUU